GGUCUGUUCGUCUAGCGGCCUAGGACAUCGCCCUUUCACGGCGGCAACAGGAGUUCGAAUCUCCUACAGAUCA
Molecule: transfer RNA, 73 nt
Filed under: Bacteriophage sp.
Description: tRNA-Glu
Rfam family: tRNA
About the family: Transfer RNA (tRNA) molecules are approximately 80 nucleotides in length. Their secondary structure includes four short double-helical elements and three loops (D, anti-codon, and T loops). Further hydrogen bonds mediate the characteristic L-shaped molecular structure. tRNAs have two regions of fundamental functional importance: the anti-codon, which is responsible for specific mRNA codon recognition, and the 3' end, to which the tRNAs corresponding amino acid is attached (by aminoacyl-tRNA synthetases). tRNAs cope with the degeneracy of the genetic code in two manners: having more than one tRNA (with a specific anti-codon) for a particular amino acid; and 'wobble' base-pairing, i.e. permitting non-standard base-pairing at the 3rd anti-codon position.
Source: RNAcentral